CAUUGACAGUCUCCCUGAUUUUGGGACUGAGAUCGAUGCGCAUCGCAUCCCCUCGCACCAGUUCUCACCAGAUAGUGGGUGAGCUGGCGUACUGUCGAAGGGAAAUUAAUCUUAGUAGUGGCGAAGGAUCGUUUCUUAUUUGAUUGAAAGAUAGGAGGCCUUGGCCCCCUUCCCUUCGCUGCGUUCUGGUUUGCAAUUCAGGGGGAGAGCGUAAAGCUGCCCUUAUACUCUAUGCAUUCAUAUAAGGCGACCAUUAGGUUGGUCCGACAAAGAAAAGUUUUUUCUCUCUGACAUAUGGUCCAACAUGUAGCUGGGCAGAAGUGAUAAAACUAGCUCUCCAUGACUCAUUACCAGGGGGGCUCAAAGUCUAGCCGCUGAUAGCUAUUCACUAUGUAUGGUAUGGAGCCGUGCCUCUCGAUAUGGUUCUAUAUAUAGCGGGUCUCUCUCAACAUCGAGUUCAGAAAAUGUUGACCUUUAAUAGCAAGACUUUUGGAAUAAACGAGACUUUUAGAAUAAGACAUUCUCUCAGAUGAAAGAAGACCGGAGGCCUCUAGCAAGUGGUGCAAGUCUUUUUUUGUUAGGGGGGAAAGAAAGGGGUGGGCUCUUCCCAUCCAAGAGUGACCCGUGCACAGAGCACCCUGGGGGCGUUGCAUAACAUUCUUGAUUAAUCUGGGGGCCAGGCCAUUGUGAUAGAGAUCUUGAUUCAUCAUACUAAAUCGAGGAAAGGUCGAUCCUAGCUCGGGGGGCAUGCAUCAUAUGGAAUGAGGUCGGCCCACAGGACCUAAACUGGCUCUACUCCUGCCCAUUCUCGCCCACCUUACU
RNAcentral lists this long non-coding RNA (822 nucleotides) under Amborella trichopoda. Its description in RNAcentral is "long non-coding RNA (ATRI_LNC004902)". The record is from RNAcentral. Lineage: Eukaryota; Viridiplantae; Streptophyta; Magnoliopsida; Amborellales; Amborellaceae.